Molecule: transfer RNA, 69 nt
Filed under: Bouchetitrochus caledonicus
Lineage: Eukaryota; Metazoa; Mollusca; Gastropoda; Pleurotomariida; Pleurotomariidae
Description: tRNA-Thr
Rfam family: tRNA
About the family: Transfer RNA (tRNA) molecules are approximately 80 nucleotides in length. Their secondary structure includes four short double-helical elements and three loops (D, anti-codon, and T loops).
Source: RNAcentral
GCGGCAAAAGCUUAAAACGAGCGUCGAUCUUGUAAGUCGAAGGAUGGAGGCCCAAGCCUCCUUGCCGUA